This 354-nucleotide ribosomal RNA is filed under the name Thalassocrinus sp. GWR-2010. RNAcentral describes it as "partial 16S ribosomal RNA". The stretch from base 59 to 354 matches the Rfam family "Bacterial large subunit ribosomal RNA", at positions 2090 to 2626 of the family's 2925-position model. Lineage: Eukaryota; Metazoa; Echinodermata; Crinoidea; Hyocrinida; Hyocrinidae. The record is from RNAcentral.
UUAAAACUUAUUAAAGUAAAGAUAAAGCAUAAAGCUAAUUUACAAAUAUACUUAUACUCUUCUUAAACUUAAAAACUUUUGGUUGGGGCAACCGCGAAGAAAAAAAAACCUUCGCCACAAUAAUAAAAAUAAACAAAUUUAAAAGUUAAAAACCUAUAAAUGACCCAGUAAAACUGAUCAAGGGAAAAAGUUACCGUAGGGAUAACAGCGUUAUUUUCUCUGAGAGCUCAUAUUGACGAGAAAGUUUGCGACCUCGAUGUUGGAUCGGGGCAUCCCAGAGGUGCAACAGCCUCUAAAGGUGGGUCUGUUCGACCUAUAAAGCCCUACGUGAUCUGAGUUCAGACCGACGUAAGU